Molecule: ribosomal RNA, 141 nt
Filed under: uncultured bacterium
Lineage: Bacteria
Description: partial 16S ribosomal RNA
Rfam family: Bacterial small subunit ribosomal RNA
Source: RNAcentral
AACGCCGCGUGAGUGAAGAAGGCCUUCGGGUUGUAAAGCUCUUUCGUCUGGGAAGAAAGGCCUGGUGCUAAUACCGCCGGGUCUUGACGUUACCCGGAGAAGAAGCCCCGGCUUACUCCGUGCCAGCAGCCGCGGUAAUUA